GUCUCCUUUAAAUUGGUCCAGAGAGGCCGGUAAGGAAUUAACUCAGCAGAAUUUCAUCACUUUCAAAGUGAAUGGAAAAUGCUUAAAGAAUUUAACUCCUUAUCAGUCAAGCUGGUAGGGAGUUUUUUUAA
This is a non-coding RNA of Halanaerobium saccharolyticum subsp. saccharolyticum DSM 6643, 131 nucleotides long. The record is from Rfam. Lineage: Bacteria; Bacillati; Bacillota; Clostridia; Halanaerobiales; Halanaerobiaceae.